This 75-nucleotide transfer RNA is filed under the name Gemmiger gallinarum. RNAcentral describes it as "tRNA-Gly". It matches the Rfam family "tRNA". Rfam says of the family: Transfer RNA (tRNA) molecules are approximately 80 nucleotides in length. Their secondary structure includes four short double-helical elements and three loops (D, anti-codon, and T loops). The record is from RNAcentral. Lineage: Bacteria; Bacillati; Bacillota; Clostridia; Eubacteriales; Oscillospiraceae.
GCAGGCAUCGUAUAACGGCUAGUACACCUGCCUUCCAAGCAGGGAAUGAGGGUUCGAUUCCCUUUGCUUGCUCCA